This is a non-coding RNA of Radiomyces spectabilis, 72 nucleotides long. The record is from the annotation of a RefSeq genome assembly. NCBI's taxonomy places the organism in Eukaryota, Fungi, Mucoromycota, Mucoromycetes, Mucorales, Radiomycetaceae.
GGGCUUAUAGCUCAGCGGUAGAGCGAGGGAUUGCAGAUCCCUAGGUCCCGUGUUCAAAUCACGGUGGGCCCU